CAGUAGCCGCGGGAAUACGGAGGGAGCUAGCGUUGUUCGGAAUUACUGGGCGUAAAGCGCGCGUAGGCGGUUACUCAAGUCAGAGGUGAAAGCCCGGGGCUCAACCCCGGAACUGCCUUUGAAACUAGGUGACUAGAAUCUUGGAGAGGUCAGUGGAAUUCCGAGUGUAGAGGUGAAAUUCGUAGAUAUUCGGAAGAACACCUGUGGCGAAGGCGACUGACUGGACAAGUAUUGACGCUGAGGUGCGAAAGCGUGGGGAGCAAACAGGAUUAGAUACCCGCGUAGUCCCUGUCUCUUAUAC
RNAcentral lists this ribosomal RNA (301 nucleotides) under uncultured bacterium. Its description in RNAcentral is "partial 16S ribosomal RNA". It matches the Rfam family "Bacterial small subunit ribosomal RNA", at positions 509 to 807 of the family's 1533-position model. The record is from RNAcentral.